GCGCCUUCGCCACGCCCGCUCAGUCAGUAGGUUUGAGUCCGUGGCGUCGGACGAACGCUGGCGGCGUGCUUAACACAUGCAAGUCGAACGGAAAGGCCCUGCUUUUGUGGGGUGCUCGAGUGGCGAACGGGUGAGUAACGCGUGGGGAAUCUACCCCUCUCUACGGAAUAACACAGAGAAAUUUGUGCUAAUACCGUAUACGUCCCUUUUGGGAGAAAGAUUUAUCGGAGAUGGAUGAGCCCGCGUUGGAUUAGCUAGUUGGUGAGGUAACGGCCCACCAAGCGACGAUCCAUAGCUGGUCUGAGGGGAUGAUCAGCCACACUGGGACUGAGACACGGCCCAG
RNAcentral lists this ribosomal RNA (343 nucleotides) under uncultured bacterium. RNAcentral describes it as "bacterial SSU rRNA". It matches the Rfam family "Bacterial small subunit ribosomal RNA", at positions 1 to 334 of the family's 1533-position model. The record is from RNAcentral.